CGGCGCGUCCGAAUACGAGUUUAGGGAUCCCGAAGAGCCAGGGGCGCCGGCUCCACGGCUCCGAGGGCGAGUACUGGGGAGCCCAGGGCCCGCAGGGCGUGGUGGGUGGAGGUGAAGUCUGGUGUCCAGACGUGGAUCUAGGACGCGGACCUUCCGGCCCACCAAGGGGACCCGAGACAACCGCCCCACACUCACAAUUCUAUCAUCCACUCUCCUUUCAGCAACUCUUUCCAGUUCUCGUCCGUGAUGAUGCGCACGUCGCUCCGCCGCCCGUGGGUCCAGGGAGCCCCCCAAACCAAGAGCAGCAACACCGCCACAGGAACCGCGGGACUCCCGGAGGGCAUCAUUCCUGCAGCGUGCCCACCCCACAGCAAGCGCGGCGGCCCCCACCUCUGCGCAGCCGCUCUCCACUUCCGCCCUCGCGGGCGAAUCUGCUCAUGCGCCUGACCGCGCGCGCUCCUGGGAACUCUCAAUGCGCAUGACAAGGCCAAGUCCGACUGAGUCGGUUUGUAAAGCACGCCUGUCCCUAGUGCGCAUGACAGAGUUGCGCUUUCUUCCCCCGCCCCUGGUGAGCCCCCAGUACGUUUGGAAAGGAGCGGCACAGGCAGGGGGCGUGGCCUAGGCAGUGGGGCGGGGCUUCGGAGAUGACUGGCUUAAAUACCGCUCCAGCAUUUUGGCGCCAAAUAAUUGGUAGUCGUACUUCCUCCAGCCAAUUGGCCUGAAUUUCUUUAUCCUCACGAAGAGGAUAUAAAGCACCUAUCCUGCAGAGUUGUGAAGAUUCAUUGAGAUAAUGAAUGUCCUGGGCUGUGCCCAGGGCCUGCCACAAGUGUUGCAUGGAGGAAUUUGGAUUGAUACUGCUGGAUGUGACAGCUUCCAUGAACAUCUGUGAUGUCUCUUGCAGGACUUGGUAAAAUCUUCUCAUGCUUUCACAGGCAGAUCUAUUAUAUUAUACAUGGAAAACAACCUACUCGAGCAUAUAAUUAUGAAUAGCUCAAUCACGGAAUUCCCUAGAAGAGUAACUAAAGGAAUAAAAGCAGAGUUUAAAAAUGAAAUUAAAGCAGCAAAUAUAAUGCAACACUCCCUAUAAGCGUAGUACUCAUUAACAGAUUAAGAGACAAAGAAGAUACCAAAAUGUGACUCAAGUGCUCACCUUCAGAGACUGCUGUCACUGACAAGCUGCUGAUACUCAGGAUGUGAGGCUUCAUCAUUCCCUGCCACAGAUGAUGGGGAGACUUGAAUGAGGCAUCGGUCACUUAAAAUGAAAAGCUUCUCGGGGCAACUGCUGGGUGGUGCAGUUGGUUACGCACCCAACUCUUAGUUUCGUCUCAGGUCAUAGUCUCAGGGUCUUGAGAUCAAGCUCUACAUGGGGCUCAGCACAGCGUCCGCUUAAGACUCUUUCUGUCUCCCUCGGCCCCUCCCCUGCCCCUGCGCACCUGUGCUCUCU
Molecule: long non-coding RNA, 1444 nt
Organism: Canis lupus familiaris (dog)
Lineage: Eukaryota; Metazoa; Chordata; Mammalia; Carnivora; Canidae
Exons: 3
Source: RefSeq, a predicted model, not a curated record